UGAUGGCCACGCUGUCUCCACCCGAGACUCAGUGAAAUGAAAUCGCAGUGAAGAUGCUGCGUCCCCGCGGCUAGACGGAAAGACCCCGUGAACCUUUACUAUAGCUUGGCACUGAACAUUGACCCUACAUGUGUAGGAUAGGUGGGAGACGUUGAAGCAACCGCGCCAGUGGUUGUGGAGUCAAUCUUGAAAUACCACCCUUGUAUGCUUGAUGUUCUAACGUUGGCCCCUUAUCGGGGUUACGGACAGUGCCUGGUGGGUAGUUUGACUGGGGCGGUCUCCUCCCAAAGAGUAACGGAGGAGCACGAAGGUGGGCUAAUCACGGUCGGACAUCGUGAGGUUAGUGCAAUGGCAUAAGCCCGCUUGACUGCGAGAAUGACAAUUCGAGCAGGUGCGAAAGCAGGUCAUAGUGAUCCGGUGGUUCUGAAUGGAAGGGCCAUCGCUCAACGGAUAAAAGGUACUCCGGGGAUAACAGGCUGAUACCGCCCAAGAGUUCAUAUCGACGGCGGUGUUUGGCACCUCGAUGUCGGCUCAUCACAUCCUGGGGCUGAAGUCGGUCCCAAGGGUAUGGCUGUUCGCCAUUUAAAGUGGUACGCGAGCUGGGUUUAGAACGUCGUGAGACAGUUCGGUCCCUAUCUGCCGUGGGCGUUGGAUGAUUGAGAGGGGCUGCUCCUAGUACGAGAGGACCGGAGUGGACGAACCGCUGGUGUUCGGGUUGUGUCGCCAGACGCAUUGCCCGGUAGCUAAGUUCGGAAUCGAUAACCGCUGAAAGCAUCUAAGCGGGAAGCGAGCCUCAAGAUGAGUCAUCCCUAGACCUUUAAGGUCUCUAAAGGGUUGUUGAAGACUACAACGUUGAUAGGUCAGGUGUGUAAGUGCUGCGAGGCAUUGAGCUAACUGAUACUAAUUGCCCGUGAGGCUUAACCAUACAACACCC
Molecule: ribosomal RNA, 934 nt
Filed under: Photobacterium sp. SKA34
Lineage: Bacteria; Pseudomonadati; Pseudomonadota; Gammaproteobacteria; Vibrionales; Vibrionaceae
Description: bacterial LSU rRNA
Rfam family: Bacterial large subunit ribosomal RNA
Source: RNAcentral